This 233-nucleotide ribosomal RNA is filed under the name uncultured bacterium. RNAcentral describes it as "partial 16S ribosomal RNA". It matches the Rfam family "Bacterial small subunit ribosomal RNA", at positions 794 to 1026 of the family's 1533-position model. The record is from RNAcentral.
UCCACGCCCUAAACGAUGAACACUAGUCGUCGGGAUGCUAGUCAUCUCGGUGAUGCACUUAACAGAUUAAGUGUUCCGCCUGGGGAGUACGGUCGCAAGAUUAAAACUCAAAGGAAUAGACGGGGACCCGCACAAGUGGUCGUCCGUGUGGUUUAAUUCGAAAAUACGCGAAGAACCUUACCUAGCCUUGACAUUGAAGAAACACACUAGAGAUAGAGUGUGUUUCUUCAAUG